This is a long non-coding RNA of Motacilla alba alba, 5309 nucleotides long. RefSeq lists it as uncharacterized. The record is from RefSeq and is a predicted model, not a curated record. NCBI's taxonomy places the organism in Eukaryota, Metazoa, Chordata, Aves, Passeriformes, Motacillidae. The transcript has 2 exons.
UAAUAAAAAGCUUUAAAUAAAAGGAACAGAAGAUUUCCAAUUAGUAGAAGCAAGGGAUGAAAUUUCAGGCCAGUAGAUUUACAUUUUUAAAGAGAAAUGCUUCUGGAGGAACACAAGGCUCGUUUUCAAUACAGAGCUCUAUAUAAAAGGCAAUUUUAGAGACAAUGUGAAAAGUCUUCUUGCAUGAAUGCAACCAAUAACCUUGUAACAAUAGAUGAGUACAGUUCUUUGUUUUUCUCAUUUUAAAUUUAUAUCCAUUUCAACACCUUGCUAAAAUCUCAACUUCACACCAUUUUUUUUAAUCACUGCACCAGGAGGGAAUAAAAUUAUUUAUGUUGGAAAUGGCAACAAUUUGAUAAAUAACUCUUUUUAACUUCAAUUUGAUAAAUAACUCUUUUUAGGUCAUGCUGUCAUAUAGCCAUAGGUCAAACGUCUGAACACUUUAAUUCAAGAAUGCUUUUUUUAAACUCAAAAAAAUGCACCUAACACCAAGUUAUUAAAUUUCAUGGCAUCUUCUCCUACGAAUAACAUGACCUUAAAUUUGUAGUCAUACAAUAAACACCUGUAUGUACCAGUAACAUUAGUUCAGAGAUCCAAGUUACAAUGAACUCUAAAUGAACACAUGAAAACUUUAAUGGAAACAAAGGACACAUUCUUAAUUUUUUACUCAGAAUUUCACUUUCUCUGGUAGUAUCUCUCUUUAGCACACAUUGAGGAAGGACAUAACAUAAAAAGGCAGAUCAGGUGGAAGGUUUAAGAAUUAGCAACACCUAAAACUUUUUUUGAAGAAUACUCUGGCUCAUGACCUUUUAAGACAAGGGAGAUUACACUACUUAAAUUGUACAUAUGGCCACAUAAAGACAAUCCAACAGCAAAACAAAAAGAACAGAUAUAGGCCAGAAAACAGCGAACACAAGAUUACACACUCCUAAAACUGAAUAAUGUAUUAUACAAAGCAAAUUGCCAUUUGGUACCCUUUUAUCAAUUUUCCCUAAGUAAGAUCAAGGAACCUUGUGAAGUUGCUUUCUGCCCCUUUUGGUAAUACGCCACAAUUAGUCUGUCAGGGACUGCUUCUGAUGUUUUACUUGAAAUUGGCCAGGAAAUACAAACAAACAGGAAAGCUCUGCUAAACUAUCAGUAACAAAACAAAAAAAAAAAUUGUAGACAUUCAAGAAGAACUAUUUAAGAAAGUUAACACCAUUUUAAAAAUCUCAGUAUUCUAACAUAUAUCCAGCAGAAUGAAACUAUGACUUAAUUAAAAUCACCUAAUCUCAAAACACAUGUAUUCUACAAUCAUGUCAGAAAGUCUGUAACAUACACCAUGUUACCAAAUUAAAAAUUACUUCUCACAAAAUGAAUUUUUUUUACCUCAUGAAUUUCAAUUUGAAACUGUUUUCUGCAUUUUUGUCAGAAACCACUUUGGAAGGGAAUUGGACUGGCACUCACUUAUGCACGUGGUCUUAAGGAACCUAGCUCCGAAAUAAGCGAUUCCUCACUUGGCUGUGCUCUGUGCAGUAGAGAAAAGCUGCCUUUAUUUACUGCUAAAACUGCUACUAUUAUUAUGCAUAUACACAUUAAAGUGUAUGUGCUGUAGGUCACAGUUCCUUUUAUGCCUUAUAUGCAUAUAUUUUAGCUGACUCCUUCUGCAGACUAACUAUUGUCCCCAGAAUUUUCAUAUCCCAGAUGAAUCACCUCUCCUUCAGACAUCUACUCACACGCAGCCAUGUCUAAAGAUACACACUAGCUAGAAUUAAAAACAGAUUGUACCCUUUCCCAUCAAGACUGCAGCAUGACUGACACAAGCAUAAGUGCUCAGCAACUGAAGUGAUGACAGUAUAAAAACCAUCCCAUUAAAUAAAAUACAGUAAAUAAAACACACAUACACACAGACUAAAUAUCGGGAUCUAAAUUAUGAACUGGCACCAGUCACAAAUGAGGUUUUACAGGUAAAUAAAGCAGCAGCAUUGCAGGGGGGGUGGGGGUGGGGGGUCUGAUUAGAUUCUGCAGCUAGCAAGAUCACCUUGAAAAAGCAAACAAGCAAGAAAAACAUCCACCACAAAAGCAUCAGAGCACUGUGAGAAAGGGGGGAAAAGGUGCUGGAUGCAGUGUUUUUCGUUACACAGUAGCUGAAACUAAGUCACAAUGAAUAUCAAGUACAGAAAAAUCCUGAGGGAAGGGACAGGAGUAAUGGACUUUGUAGGAAAAGAAGGUUAUUUUCGGCCAGGGUAUAACAUCAAUUAGUCCCCUGACUUUCUCAAAGGAAAGUCAAGAUUAGGAACAAGGAGGACAGAGGAAUAUGCAGUAGAUUUAAAAAGAUCAGUUAUCUAAGAAAUGACAGAACUAUGCAACUAGGUCUGCACCUCAAUGUUUACUGAAAAAGGUAAUUCCUACACUCGCCCUUUCACACUCCAUAUAUUCUUCACUAUUUUGUCCUGUAUUAUUUACCUUCUCAGUUUUAUUUUGAAAGGCUCCAAAAAACAUGUCUGCAGAAACCAUAUAUGCCUCUACCUAUAGGUUUUUACAUAUGCCUAAGACAGAAUACAGGCCAGCUAAUCUGAUGUAACCCUAUGCCAUACUCUUUUGUAAAAAUCAGACUUAAGAUCCCUCUUCUGCCAGAUGCAGACAUUUUUAUAGUGAGAUACAAAGUCAGUAACUGAAAUUUAAAAUGUUCUAAACUGCAUCUGCAGUUCUCAGAAGCUUGAGGAUGCUCUCCUUCUAGCAAUUAUCAACAUUUCUCAGCUGGCAGCCAGUGAAAGCACAGAUGGUAACAACGAACUGACCUACUGCAUGUCAUGUAUCACCACAGACCAUACUGAUAACCACUUAUAUAUUCAUUCUAUAUCUUUAAAAAUUAGUUUCUAACACUACUUUCCCAAUUUCUUAAGGGUUCUCCUUUUCAUUUUUUUUCAUAUAGAUGUAGUUUCAUUCUUAGUGCAACACACUUGAGUCUGAAAACCUUUCAAGGAAGAAAAUAACAAAUCUGCUGAAUAUAUGUAGCAUUUUAGAUCAAACAGUCAUUUCAAAAUCUCCAUCAAGUAGUUUUCACUAAAUAACUAGAAACAGGAUUCCUUCUAUUUAUACAUUAAGUGAGUACUAAUACUGUUCUUCUCCCCACUUGCCUGCAAACAGUAGAAGUAAACUUUAAGUAAACUGGAAUCAAUGCAAAAAAAAGCCUACUAGAUAGGAAAAAUGUGAUCCUUUCUUCCCUGCCACCCAAAAGGACUUAUACCUUUUCCCUCUGCAAUUCAGCAUUUUGACAACUGCACUAUCACUACAACUAUUAAUGUAUUUAUAUGCAUUAAACACAUACCACAUUUCUCUAAAGCAACUACAACCACAACUGCAUAUCCUGUAGCUUUUUCCCACCACAAAAUCUGCAACACUAUUUUCCUGAGACCAUUCUAUCAACACUGACAACAGCAAAAAGUACUUUUAGAGACUGAGCUUCUAAAACUUCCAAUAUCCUUUACUUCUGUACUAGGUGACAGGAUGUUGAACACUGAAGGUGACUGAGAACAUCUUUGCUAUUGCUGAAAUUCUACUAGCAAGAUCUAUUACAAAGAAAAUCAGUAUGAACAGGAUCCUGACCUCUCAGCUGUCUGAUAACACUGAGUCUGACUGCUGACUAUUACAGAAUCUCAAGCUGCAUCAAGACAUAGGGCAGACAUGAUCAUAAAACCUCUUCCAUCUAACUACUUAUAAAGCUAAUUUUUUUGGAAGCAGACCUUGGUAACAGAAAGUAUUUUUUACUCAAAGCAACACGACCUUUAAAACUCAACUAGUACAUUUGUUUUGAUUAUAAAUAAUGCUAAUGAGACUAUAAGCUAGAAGAUUGGCACAACUCAAGAUUCUGCUAAAAGCAGUUUAAGUUAGACAGGUCUGGUCUGAGCUGUUUUGUAAACUGUUUUGUCCUUGUCAUGUAAGCCAAAAGUUCUGAAAGUGAAAUUUAUUUUGUAUUGCUUACAAUUUAAACACUGACAACCUAGAGUUUUAAAGUGAAAGAAAAAAAGCAAAGCAGCUAUAUUUAAUAUAUUCUUUUCAUGGCACACUGGUGUUUCAGAGGGUUUACAAAGAUGCACCAACUGCAUAUGACACACAUCUCAUAUCUGAAAAAAAGCAUCAGAAGGGAUAAAGGGAUAAUUAACAGAUAUUACACACAGCUUUUCCACUGGCCUCCUGCCCCUCAUAUCCCACAAUUAAAAAGUUAACCUUCUCUAUGUUCCCCAGUACCUAGUUGUGACAGUCUCCAGUUCAAAGGUUACUGUGUAACACACCCUGAGCGCUCCAGCAUAUUCCAAAAGAAAAAGCAACUGAUCAGGUCACAUACUUAGAUGGGCCUGAAUGUAUGUCCUCAAACUCUGCCUCAUAGUACCUAAAAUGAGACUGCAGGCAAAAGCAGUGUAGUUCAGGUACAAGAAACGGAAGAUACAAACCCACUGAUUCAGAGUAACAAAAUCCAACUAAAAGCCUCACGUUUCAGUGCAGAGAGCACAGUACAGUUUGCACCAAUAAAUACCAAUCCCAUAUAGUAGCUGUUUGCAGGAAGCGUAAUGAUUAUUGUGUGAUCCCUACCAAUAUUUAACACCAGUUUUCCUUUCAUAAAUUCUGUUGCUGCACCAGAGUGAAGCACCCUCAAUGAAGAAAACACAGAGCAAUAACGGAUAGUGUGCUUUCAUAAACUGCAGUAAACAUCACUUCUCAGACCUUAUAUGCUCAUGUCUAUUUAUGCUCUGGAUGUCUGUCUAAAAAUGGAUUGUCAGACUUUCUGCUGACCAACAGCAUCCUCUUCCCAUUAACCAAUUGUACAUGUAUCUGUAUAGAGAGAAACAAUACACUGACUAAUGAAACUCCAUUGCGUGCCAAUUUCUCUUUAUAUACACCUUGAAUAUGUUUACAAGUUUGUCAGAUAAUCUCAAGAAUUCAACAGUACAUCUAUCUGCCAACAUUAUUAUUGCCUUUAAAUAAUUAAAAUACUAGCCUAAAGAGGAAAAAAAUGUUCAUUAGAAAAGGUCACUAGAUGCUACCAGUCUAUCUUUUUACCGUAACAUAAAAUCAAGCAUGUAAUGAACAGGAAAAAACUCACAGUAAGCCAAGUCUCAGAGUAACUUUGAAUGCAUCACACAGCUCGUUAACUGUUCACCCACUUAACAGGUUAACUUUGACACCAAAAUACAUACAGCCAUAUUAAGACAUCACAGUAAUUGGGAGGUAUUUAAAGACAUGUACUCUGCUCUCACUUUCAGCUUGACAGAAGUUCAACAUGACUUCUAAGAGCAAACACUUCUCUCAAAAAAAACCCCCAAAAAAAC